AUAAGCGGAGGAAAAGAAACCAACAGGAUGCCUAGUAACGGCGAGUGAAGCGGCAACAGCUCAAAUUUGAAAUCUGGCCCCCGGGUCCGAGUUGUAAUUUGUAGAGGAUGCUUUUGGUGCGGUACCUUCCGAGUGCCUGGAACGGGACGCCAUAGAGGGUGAGAGCCCCGUCUGGUUGGACGCCAAUCCUUUGUAAAGCUCCUUCAACGAGUCGAGUAGUUUGGGAAUGCUGCUCUAAAUGGGAGGUAUAUGUCUUCUAAAGCUAAAUAUUGGCCAGAGACCGAUAGCGCACAAGUAGAGUGAUCGAAAGAUGAAAAGCACUUUGAAAAGAGAGUUAAAAAGUACGUGAAAUUGUUGAAAGGGAAGCGCUCAUGACCAGACUUGGGCUUGGUUGAUCAUCCAGGGUUCUCCCUGGUGCACUCUUCCGGCCCAGGCCAGCAUCAGUUCGCUGUGGGGGAUAAAGGCUUCGGGAAUGUGGCUCCCUCGGGAGUGUUAUAGCCCGUCGUGUAAUACCCUGUGGUGGACUGAGGUUCGCGCAUUCGCAAGGAUGCUGGCGUAAUGGUCAUCAGC
Molecule: ribosomal RNA, 570 nt
Filed under: Neonectria galligena
Lineage: Eukaryota; Fungi; Ascomycota; Sordariomycetes; Hypocreales; Nectriaceae
Description: eukaryotic LSU rRNA
Rfam family: Eukaryotic large subunit ribosomal RNA
Source: RNAcentral